This 143-nucleotide small nucleolar RNA is filed under the name Microtus ochrogaster (prairie vole). RNAcentral's name for it is "Small nucleolar RNA SNORA79 (ENSMOCG00000010735.1)". It matches the Rfam family "Small nucleolar RNA SNORA79". From Rfam's summary of the family: ACA65 (SNORA79) is a member of the H/ACA class of snoRNAs that guide the sites of modification of uridines to pseudouridines. This snoRNA was identified by computational screening and its expression in mouse experimentally verified by Northern blot and primer extension analysis. Lineage: Eukaryota; Metazoa; Chordata; Mammalia; Rodentia; Cricetidae. The record is from Rfam by way of RNAcentral.
UGAUGAUUGUUCCUCCUAUUGCCUUUAGGCAUGGCACUAGGAUUUUAGAUCAUCAUAAAUUAAAAUUGAUUUUUUUCAUUCAGAGAGUAUCAAGAUAAUGGGAUUAUCUGUGUAUUCUCUGAAAUUUGCGGGAUCAAACAAUU